RNAcentral lists this transfer RNA (84 nucleotides) under Felis catus (domestic cat). It matches the Rfam family "tRNA". Rfam says of the family: Transfer RNA (tRNA) molecules are approximately 80 nucleotides in length. Their secondary structure includes four short double-helical elements and three loops (D, anti-codon, and T loops). The record is from Rfam by way of RNAcentral. Lineage: Eukaryota; Metazoa; Chordata; Mammalia; Carnivora; Felidae. RNAcentral also lists the same sequence under 1 other name.
GCCUGGGUGGCUCAGUUGGUUGAGCGUCUGACUUCGGUUCAGGUUGUGAUCUUACGGUUGUGAGUUUGAGCCCCGCGUCGGGCU